UACGUAGGGUGCAAGCGUUAAUCGGAAUUACUGGGCGUAAAGCGUGCGCAGGCGGUUACAUAAGACAGAUGUGAAAUCCCCGGGCUUAACCUGGGAACUGCGUUUGUGACUGUGUGACUAGAGUACGGCAGAGGGGGGUGGAAUUCCUGGUGUAGCAGUGAAAUGCGUAGAUAUCGAGAGGAACACCAGUGGCGAAGGCGAGUCCCUGGACAACACCUGACACUGAGGCACGAAAGCUAGGGGGAGCAAACAGG
This 254-nucleotide ribosomal RNA is filed under the name uncultured bacterium. Its description in RNAcentral is "partial 16S ribosomal RNA". It matches the Rfam family "Bacterial small subunit ribosomal RNA", at positions 524 to 776 of the family's 1533-position model. The record is from RNAcentral.